GCCGAUAUGGCUCAGGUGGUAGAGCAACUGAUUCGUAAUCAGUAGGUCGGGAGUUCGAGUCUCCCUAUCGGCA
RNAcentral lists this transfer RNA (73 nucleotides) under bacterium. RNAcentral describes it as "tRNA-Thr". It matches the Rfam family "tRNA". Rfam says of the family: Transfer RNA (tRNA) molecules are approximately 80 nucleotides in length. The record is from RNAcentral. RNAcentral also lists the same sequence under 2 other names.